Macaca fascicularis (crab-eating macaque) is the source of this 97-nucleotide small nuclear RNA. The record is from Ensembl. NCBI's taxonomy places the organism in Eukaryota, Metazoa, Chordata, Mammalia, Primates, Cercopithecidae.
GUGUUGUGGGAAAAAAGAGAAGUUUAGCAUCUCCCUUGUUAAGAAUGGAUGGAAGAGGCCAUUGGGCGUAGUUUCACAGCACUUACCAUGUUUUUUU